Long non-coding RNA from Herpailurus yagouaroundi (jaguarundi), 795 nucleotides. RefSeq lists it as uncharacterized. The record is from RefSeq and is a predicted model, not a curated record. The transcript has 3 exons. Lineage: Eukaryota; Metazoa; Chordata; Mammalia; Carnivora; Felidae.
UCCGGUGCCCUCGUUUAUUCCAGGAAAGGGUAAUGGAGUAAAUCCUCCUCGCGCUGAGUGUACUCGGCCUUCUCCGGAAGGGUCCUGAGUGGGGUCACCGAGCACAGGAAGAGUCGUGAGACUCCCCACGAAUAAUAGCGUACUUUUCCUUUCUGGGAAACGCGGACCUGCUUUCUCCGCGCUGUCGGGAGGUCAGAGUUUCAAAGUUUCCCAAACCCAGGGACAACUCCUGGAUUCUCAGUUUGGGGCUGUGUUCCCAAGAGCCUCGGUGGUUGUAGGAUAAAGGAGUUUCGAGAAACGAAGUUGGAAGCGAGGAAACAGAAUGGGAACGGUUUGCAGCUUGCACCAAAGUAAAAAAGUGUCAGAACCACACCUUAAAAGAAAAUCCCAAACCACCCAUCUUAUGUCACCUUCUCUUACCAUUCUAAGAAAAUAGCAUUUAGUAUGCUGUUAUAACCAAGGAAAUCUGCCUUGAGUAAAGUGCAACUAAGACGAGGAAGAGGGAGUAGGCAAUUACAAUGUCACAGCAAAGCACCAUGGGCAUGAAGAAACUUUAUCCUGAAAGCAAUCUUGGACUCUCAAAAAAAAAAAAAAAAAAGCCACCGGAAUAGUCAUUUGAAUUUCUUCAUUUGAAUUUCUUCAUGCCAGGCUACCAGGGAAAAUGCAAUUUGGAAAAACACAUAUAAGGUCGUUUGGCUCCAAAGAAAGAAACCUCCCAAUUUUUUAAAUAUGUCCAUACAAAAAUCCUCAAUUUAUAAGAAAUUAAACAGGUAAGGUAACUCUUCUAACCCCAAA